This 73-nucleotide transfer RNA is filed under the name Stegodyphus mimosarum. It matches the Rfam family "tRNA". From Rfam's summary of the family: Transfer RNA (tRNA) molecules are approximately 80 nucleotides in length. Their secondary structure includes four short double-helical elements and three loops (D, anti-codon, and T loops). Further hydrogen bonds mediate the characteristic L-shaped molecular structure. tRNAs have two regions of fundamental functional importance: the anti-codon, which is responsible for specific mRNA codon recognition, and the 3' end, to which the tRNAs corresponding amino acid is attached (by aminoacyl-tRNA synthetases). tRNAs cope with the degeneracy of the genetic code in two manners: having more than one tRNA (with a specific anti-codon) for a particular amino acid; and 'wobble' base-pairing, i.e. permitting non-standard base-pairing at the 3rd anti-codon position. The record is from Rfam by way of RNAcentral. Lineage: Eukaryota; Metazoa; Arthropoda; Arachnida; Araneae; Eresidae.
GUCUUCGUGGUGUAGUGGUCAGCUUACUCGGCUCCUAUUCGAGAGGUCCGUGGUUCGAGUCCCCGCGAGGGCA